Long non-coding RNA from Camelus dromedarius (Arabian camel), 463 nucleotides. RefSeq lists it as uncharacterized. The transcript has 4 exons. The record is from RefSeq and is a predicted model, not a curated record. Lineage: Eukaryota; Metazoa; Chordata; Mammalia; Artiodactyla; Camelidae.
CGAGAGAAAGGUCGAGAGGGUCUGUGGUGGCGGUUUUCUGUGGUGAAAACUUUGUCCGUGCAGGAGGCCGCUUUCCCCCACCUAGUCCUUUUAAGGAUACUGACUUAGCGAAUUCCCUAAUUGCCUCAACUUUCAGUCUCCUUAGAGGAAAAGCCUGGCUUUCUAAAUGUCCUGUCUGACACGAAAGAGAUGUCUGUGUGCCCCUGUGUGCUCUUUCCACCGAUAAUUUUGGAGAUCAUUCCAUAUCAGUCAGUCUGGUGGAUAUUGCAUGGUUGAACAUCUGGGAAUGCUGUUCUUUACUGUCCAGAGAAUCAGCAGAAGAGGAGAUGGGCCCCAGGUGUCCUGCAGCCCACUGCAUCUCAAGAAACCACAGUAAAAUCUCUCCCAUGGUGUUCGCCUCUCCUUCUGCCUCCUGAAGACCCUCGUGCUUCCCUCAUGGCACAUGGCAUGCCCCUUCUUCUUG